RNAcentral lists this ribosomal RNA (497 nucleotides) under uncultured bacterium. RNAcentral's name for it is "partial 16S ribosomal RNA". It matches the Rfam family "Bacterial small subunit ribosomal RNA", at positions 28 to 507 of the family's 1533-position model. The record is from RNAcentral.
GAUGAACGCUGGCGGCGUGCCUAAUACAUGCAAGUCGAGCGAACAGAUGAGGAGCUUGCUCCUCUGACGUUAGCGGCGGACGGGUGAGUAACACGUGGAUAACCUACCUAUAAGACUGGGAUAACUACGGGAAACCGGAGCUAAUACCGGAUAAUAUAUUGAACCGCAUGGUUCAAUAGUGAAAGACGGUUUUGCUGUCACUUAUAGAUGGAUCCGCGCCGCAUUAGCCAGUUGGUAAGGUAACGGCUUACCAAGGCAACGAUGCGUAGCCGACCUGAGAGGGUGAUCGGCCACACUGGAACUGAGACACGGUCCAGACUCCUACGGGAGGCAGCAGUAGGGAAUCUUCCGCAAUGGGCGAAAGCCUGACGGAGCAACGCCGCGUGAGUGAUGAAGGUCUUCGGAUCGUAAAACUCUGUUAUUAGGGAAGAACAAAUGUGUAAGUAACUAUGCACGUCUUGACGGUACCUAAUCAGAAAGCCACGGCUAACUACGUG